Salvia splendens (bonfire salvia) is the source of this 947-nucleotide long non-coding RNA. RefSeq lists it as uncharacterized. The record is from RefSeq and is a predicted model, not a curated record. NCBI's taxonomy places the organism in Eukaryota, Viridiplantae, Streptophyta, Magnoliopsida, Lamiales, Lamiaceae. The transcript has 3 exons.
UUCAUGGUAUUUGCCAAAAAAAAAAACAUUUUCAAAAAUAACCCUCAUCUUCUAACGCUAUAUUCUUCUCCUCCCCACUGCUUCUGGUUCGAAAAAUUGAAGCUCUUGUUUUGGAUGAAAGCUACAAACGACACUGGACAAGCAACACGAGAUUUACACCAUAGCACACAGAUCUGAGGGGAAAUCAACUCCAGCGCAAAUUUUCAAGGACGAAGCUAGAAGUUGGAAGAAGUUUCUUUCUUCUUGGCCUUCUGCAACUUUCUAGGUUCCAUAGCUGAGUUUGGAAUAGCGGUCAUCUGAAAAGAAUUUUAGUUACUUAGAAUGAGUACACAGUUCCUGUCGAACGAGGAAUUAUUUUUGCUAAUUCAGGACAUCAUUCGCACACACCAACAACAAACCUCUGUCAUUCUCCAUGAGUUUUUCGAACUGAACAAUGUUGGUAGGCGGUCGAGAGAAAACAAUCCACGAUGUUUAUUUCGUCGUUUAGCCCGCAUCACCAUUUCCGACACCACUUUGGAAGCAGAAUUUGAUGACACAAUGCGUUCGGGAAAAGCACACGUCACUGGGCAAUCUUCUGCAGCAGCUGGUAAACAAAAGGGUAAGAUGAAUCCACGCAAACUUUUCGAUGAUGUCGGAAAUGACUCUGACCGCGAAUCUACGAAUGGUAAAGGAACUAGAUCAUCAAAUGAUACUUCUUGUGCUUCAUCUAGCCCGAAUGCAUGGUGGCGUCGUCCGUACGAAUGAAAUUAAGUCCCAACAUGCAACGUUCCAUAAGUAAUAUUAGGAUAUCCAUUUGGACAAUAAGUCACCUGUGACAUGCUAUUUUCUUUUGCAUUUGUCUGUAGUUUGGAUUGUGUAAGAUAUGUACUCAUGUUUGAAUGUAAGAUUUCUAGACUCACGAACCUCAUUAAGUAGUAUGUAAGCUUAUUAUCAUUUCUGCUCUUAUA